CCUUCGGGGGGCAGCAGUAGGGAAUUUUCCACAAUGGGCGAAAGCCUGAUGGAGCCACGCCGCGUGGGUGAUGAAGGUCUUCGGAUCGUAAAACCCUUUUGUUAGAGAAGAAAGUGCGUGCGAGUAACUGUUCACGUAUCGACGGUAUCUAACCAGAAAGCCACGGCUAACUACGUGCCAGCAGCCGCUGUAAUACGUAGGUGGCAAGUGUUAUCCGGAGUUAUUGGGCUUAAAGGGAACGCAGGCGGUCUUUUAAGUCUGAUGUGAAAGCAUUCGGCUUAACCGGAGUAGUGCAUUGGAAACUGGGAGACUUGAGUGCAGAAGAGGAGAGUGGAACGCCAUGUGUAGCGGUGACAUGCGUAGAUAUAUGGAAGAACACCAGUGGCGAAAGCGGCUCUCUGGUCUGUAACUGACGCUGAGGUUCGAAAGCGUGGGUAGCAAACAGGAUUAGAUACCCGGGUAGUC
RNAcentral lists this ribosomal RNA (465 nucleotides) under uncultured bacterium. RNAcentral's name for it is "partial 16S ribosomal RNA". It matches the Rfam family "Bacterial small subunit ribosomal RNA", at positions 338 to 795 of the family's 1533-position model. The record is from RNAcentral.